RNAcentral lists this ribosomal RNA (461 nucleotides) under uncultured bacterium. Its description in RNAcentral is "bacterial SSU rRNA". It matches the Rfam family "Bacterial small subunit ribosomal RNA", at positions 29 to 506 of the family's 1533-position model. The record is from RNAcentral.
ACGAACGCUGGCGGCGUGCUUAACACAUGCAAGUCGAACGGUAAGGCCCCUUCGGGGGUACACGAGUGGCGAACGGGUGAGUAACACGUGGGUAAUCUGCCCUGCACUUCGGGAUAAGCCUGGGAAACUGGGUCUAAUACCGGAUAUGAACUCCUGCCGCAUGGUGGGGGUUGGAAAGUUUUUCGGUGCAGGAUGAGCCCGCGGCCUAUCAGCUUGUUGGUGGGGUAAUGGCCUACCAAGGCGACGACGGGUAGCCGGCCUGAGAGGGUGAUCGGCCACACUGGGACUGAGACACGGCCCAGACUCCUACGGGAGGCAGCAGUGGGGAAUAUUGCACAAUGGGCGAAAGCCUGAUGCAGCGACGCCGCGUGGGGGAUGACGGUCUUCGGAUUGUAAACCCCUUUCAGUAGGGACGAAGCGCAAGUGACGGUACCUGCAGAAGAAGCACCGGCUAACUACGU